Molecule: ribosomal RNA, 379 nt
Filed under: uncultured eukaryote
Lineage: Eukaryota
Description: partial 18S ribosomal RNA
Rfam family: Eukaryotic small subunit ribosomal RNA
Source: RNAcentral
CAAUAGCGUAUAUUAAAGUUGUUGCGGUUAAAAAGCUCGUAGUUGGAUUUCUGCCGAGGACGACCGGUCCGCCCUCUGGGUGUGUAUCUGGUUUGGCCUGGGCAUCUUCUUGGAGAACGUAGCUGCACUUGACUGUGUGGUGCGGUGUCCAGGACUUUUACUUUGAGGAAAUUAGAGUGUUUCAAGCAGGCACACGCCUUGAAUACAUUAGCAUGGAAUAACACGAUAGGACUCUGGCUUAUCUUGUUGGUCUGUGAGACCAGAGUAAUGAUUAAGAGGGACAGUCGGGGACAUUCGUAUUUCAUUGUCAGAGGUGAAAUUCUUGGAUUUAUGAAAGACGAACUUCUGCGAAAGCAUUUGUCAAGGAUGUUUUCAUUAA